UACGGAGGUGGCAAGCGUUGCUCGGAAUCACUGGGCGUAAAGGGCGCGUAGGCGGGGAGGUAAGUCGGGUGUGAAAUCCCUCGGCCCAACUGAGGAACUGCGCCCGAGACUGCUUCUCUUGAGUCCCGGAGAGGAAGAUGGAAUUCCCGGUGUAGCGGUGAAAUGUGUAGAGAUCGUAAGGAAGACCAGUGGCGAAGGCGAGUCUCUGGACAGUUACCGACGCUGAGGCACGAAGGCCAGGGGAGCAAACGGG
This 253-nucleotide ribosomal RNA is filed under the name uncultured bacterium. RNAcentral's name for it is "partial 16S ribosomal RNA". It matches the Rfam family "Bacterial small subunit ribosomal RNA", at positions 524 to 776 of the family's 1533-position model. The record is from RNAcentral.